CGGGGUGUAGCUCAGGGGCAGAGCGCUGCGUUCGGGACGCAGAGGUCGCACGUUCAAUUCGUGUCACCCCGACCA
Molecule: transfer RNA, 75 nt
Filed under: bacterium
Lineage: Bacteria
Description: tRNA-Pro
Rfam family: tRNA
About the family: Transfer RNA (tRNA) molecules are approximately 80 nucleotides in length. Their secondary structure includes four short double-helical elements and three loops (D, anti-codon, and T loops). Further hydrogen bonds mediate the characteristic L-shaped molecular structure. tRNAs have two regions of fundamental functional importance: the anti-codon, which is responsible for specific mRNA codon recognition, and the 3' end, to which the tRNAs corresponding amino acid is attached (by aminoacyl-tRNA synthetases). tRNAs cope with the degeneracy of the genetic code in two manners: having more than one tRNA (with a specific anti-codon) for a particular amino acid; and 'wobble' base-pairing, i.e. permitting non-standard base-pairing at the 3rd anti-codon position.
Source: RNAcentral